This 67-nucleotide ribosomal RNA is filed under the name Acacia hamersleyensis. RNAcentral's name for it is "partial large subunit ribosomal RNA". Lineage: Eukaryota; Viridiplantae; Streptophyta; Magnoliopsida; Fabales; Fabaceae. The record is from RNAcentral.
CGCGAACCCAAGUUAAGCGGGGCUAACCGGUUGAGUUUAAGCAUAUUAAUAAGCGGAGGAAAAGAAA